AGAGUUUGAUCCUGGCUCAGGAUGAAUGCUGGCGGCGUGCCUAACACAUGCAAGUCGAACGGACUCAUAUUGAAACCUAGUGAUUUAUGAGUUAGUGGCGGACGGGUGAGUAACGCGUGGAAAACCUGCCGUAUACCGGGGGAUAACACUUAGAAAUAGGUGCUAAUACCGCAUAAGCGCACAGCUUCGCAUGAAGCAGUGUGAAAAACUCCGGUGGUAUACGAUGGUUCCGCGUCUGAUUAGCUGGUUGGCGGGGUAACGGCCCACCAAGGCAACGAUCAGUAGCCGGCCUGAGAGGGUGAACGGCCACAUUGGGACUGAGACACGGCCCAAACUCCUACGGGAGGCAGCAGUGGGGAAUAUUGCACAAUGGGGGAAACCCUGAUGCAGCGACGCCGCGUGAGUGAAGAAGUAUUUCGGUACGUAAAGCUCUAUCAGCAGGGAAGAAAAUGACGGUACCUGACUAAGAAGCCCCGGCUAACUACGUGCCAGCAGCCGCGGUAAUACGUAGGGGGCAAGCGUUAUCCGGAUUUACUGGGUGUAAAGGGAGCGUAGACGGCCGUGCAAGUCUGAAGUGAAAUGCCGGGGCUCAACCCCGGAACUGCUUUGGAAACUGUACAGCUAGAGUGCAGGAGGGGUGAGCGGAAUUCCUAGUGUAGCGGUGAAAUGCGUAGAUAUUAGGAGGAACACCGGUGGCGCAGGCGGCUCACUGGACUGUAACUGACGUUGAGGCUCGAAAGCGUGGGGAGCAAACAAGAUUAGAUACCCUGGUAGUCCACGCCGUAAACGAUCAUAAAAGGGUCGGGGGGCCAAGGUCCCUUGGGUGCGGGGGCAAAGGCAUUAAGUAUUCCCCUGGGGGGGACGGUUGGCAAGAUGAAAACUCAAAGAAAUGAGGGGGACCCGCACCAAGCGGUGGAGCAUGUGGUUUAAUCCGAAGCAACGCGAAAACCCUUCCCGGGCCUUGACAUCCCGAUGAAUGUACAGUAAGGUGUACAGGACUUCGGUACAUCGGAGACAGGUGGCGCAUGGUUGUCGUCAGCUCGUGUCGUGAGAUGUUGGGUUAAGUCCCGCAACGAGCGCAACCCCUGCCCUCAGUAGCCAGCAGGUAAAGCUGGGAACUCUGAGGGGACUGCCCGGGAUAACCGGGAGGAAGGCGGGGAUGACGUCAAAUCAUCAUGCCCCUUAUGGCCGGGGCUACACACGUGCUACAAUGGCGGAAACAGAGGGAAGCAGCCCCGUGAGGGUGAGCGAACCCCAAAAACACCGCCUCAGUUCGGAUUGUAGUCUGCAACCCGACUACAUGAAGCCGGAAUCGCUAGUAAUCGCGAAUCAGAAUGUCGCGGUGAAUACGUUCCCGGGUCUUGCACUCACAGCCCGUCA
This 1380-nucleotide ribosomal RNA is filed under the name uncultured bacterium. RNAcentral describes it as "bacterial SSU rRNA". It matches the Rfam family "Bacterial small subunit ribosomal RNA". The record is from RNAcentral.